This 429-nucleotide ribosomal RNA is filed under the name Chloroflexota bacterium. RNAcentral's name for it is "Chloroflexi bacterium partial 16S ribosomal RNA". It matches the Rfam family "Bacterial small subunit ribosomal RNA", at positions 355 to 776 of the family's 1533-position model. RNAcentral also lists the same sequence under 1 other name. The record is from RNAcentral. Lineage: Bacteria; Bacillati; Chloroflexota.
UAGGGAAUCUUCGGCAAUGGACGAAAGUCUGACCGAGCAACGCCGCGUGAGUGAAGAAGGUUUUCGGAUCGUAAAACUCUGUUGUUAGAGAAGAACAAGGACGUUAGUAACUGAACGUCCCCUGACGGUAUCUAACCAGAAAGCCACGGCCAACUACGUGCCAGCAGCCGCGGUAAUACGUAGGUGGCAAGCGUUGUCCGGAUUUAUUGGGCGUAAAGCGAGCGCAGGCGGUUUCUUAAGUCUGAUGUGAAAGCCCCCGGCUCAACCGGGGAGGGUCAUUGGAAACUGGGAGACUUGAGUGCAGAAGAGGAGAGUGGAAUUCCAUGUGUAGCGGUGAAAUGCGUAGAUAUAUGGAGGAACACCAGUGGCGAAGGCGGCUCUCUGGUCUGUAACUGACGCUGAGGCUCGAAAGCGUGGGGAGCAAACAGG